Molecule: unclassified non-coding RNA, 376 nt
Filed under: uncultured Oligoflexales bacterium
Lineage: Bacteria; Pseudomonadati; Bdellovibrionota; Oligoflexia; Oligoflexales
Description: contains 16S-23S intergenic spacer region
Source: RNAcentral
UCCGGUUUAACACCGGCAGUCCCUUCAGAGUGGUCAACUUAAUGUACCAACUAAAGGCAAGGGUUGCGCUCGUUGCGGGACUUAACCCAACAUUUCACAACACGAGCUGACGACAGCCAUGCAGCACCUGUCUCCACGUCCCCGAAGGGAAAAUAACAUCUCUGCUAUCGUCGUGGGAUGUCAAACCCAGGUAAGGUUCUGAGCGUUGCUUCGAAUUAAACCACAUACUCCACCGCUUGUGCGGGCCCCCGUCAGUUCCUUUGAGUUUUAGUCUUGCGACCGUACUCCCCAGGCGGGAUACUUAAUGCGUGUGCUCCGAUACUCAGAGGGUUAAUUCUCCAAACAUCUAGUAUCCAUCGUUUACGGCGUGGACUAC